Molecule: ribosomal RNA, 253 nt
Filed under: uncultured bacterium
Lineage: Bacteria
Description: partial 16S ribosomal RNA
Rfam family: Bacterial small subunit ribosomal RNA
Source: RNAcentral
UACGUAGGGUGCAAGCGUUGUCCGGAAUUAUUGGGCGUAAAGAGCUCGUAGGCGGUUCGUCGCGUCGGCUGUGAAAACCCGAGGCUCAACCUCGGGCCUGCAGUCGAUACGGGCGGACUGGAGUUCGGCAGGGGAGACUGGAAUUCCUGGUGUAGCGGUGAAAUGCGCAGAUAUCAGGAGGAACACCGAUGGCGAAGGCAGGUCUCUGGGCCAUAACUGACGCUGAGAAGCGAAAGCAUGGGGAGCGAACAGG